ACCCGCUGAACUUAAGCAUAUCAGUAAGCGGAGGAAGAGAAACUAACUAGGAUUCCCCCAGUAAGGGCGACUGAAGCGGGAAUAGCUCAGGAUGAAAAUCAAGUUUCGGCUUGAAUUGUAGUCUUGAGAGGUUCUACCAGUGCCUGAUUCGGUGUAAGUCUCUUGGAAAAGAGCGCGAGCAAGGGUGAGAGCCCCUUCUGGCACUGUAUUCAGGCACGUACGGUGUUCCUUCAACGAGUCACGUUCCUUGGGACUGGAGCGCAAACGGGUGGUAAAUUUCAUCCAAAGCUAAAUAUGGGCUCAAGACCGAUAGCAUAAAAGUACCAUGAGGGAAGGGUGAAAAGGACUUUGGAAAGAGAGUUAAAAGUGCCUGAAGUCGCUGAAAGGGAAGCGCUUGGAACCAGUCCUGCCCUUUAAGAUUGUCACGUGGUAGCGUUAUCGCUUUUGUCGUCAGGGCAACCGUCGGCGGGGGUGGAGAGCGUCAUCUGCGGGGUGUUUCUUGAAGGUGCUUGUCAGCUUGAUUUGGCGCGAGGGGAGAACUCCGGUGGGGAGCCUUCGGGUAUCUGCUGAGAGAACCCUUGUGCUGAGUGAGGCUAGCCGGUUAGCUCUACUACGGGGAAGCCGCGUUCGGGGAGUUUGGAAAGCUUGCUCGCCUGAUUCCCUAGGGUGUGGUGGACUUGUAGACGAAGCCGGCAGAAGCUGACGAAAUGGUUCCAACCGACCCGUCUUGAAACACGGACCAAGGAGUCUAACAUGUGUGCGAGUAUGCGGGUGGCAAACCUGUAUGCGCAAUGAAAGUAAUAGAUGGGAAUUUGCACCAUCGACCGACCUUAAGGUUCUCCGAGAGGUUUGAGUUUGAGCAUACCUGUUAGGACCCGAAAGAUGGUGAACUAUGCCUGAGUAGGGUGAAGCCAGGGGAAACUCUGGUGGAGGCUCGUAGCGAUACUGACGUGCAAAUCGUUCGUCAAACUUGGGUAUAGGGGCGAAAGACUAAUCGAACCAUCUAGUAGCUGGUUCCCUCCGAAGUUUCCCUCAGGAAAGG
This 1042-nucleotide ribosomal RNA is filed under the name uncultured eukaryote. RNAcentral's name for it is "eukaryotic LSU rRNA". It matches the Rfam family "Eukaryotic large subunit ribosomal RNA", at positions 23 to 982 of the family's 3401-position model. The record is from RNAcentral.